AUGCAAGCUUGUCAUCGAGGGCAUUGGGAGGUUGUUCUGGUUCUCCUGGUCUUUAGAGCUGAUAACUUGGAUUUGAUUAUCUUGGAAGCAAAGAGCAACUUGUCAUGAAUUUACAAGCAAACUAGAAUAUUUAAACAGUUGUUCCCUUCUUUUUUUUCUUUCACCUUUUUCUUUCUUUCCAUUGUGUUUCUUUUUUUCCUUCAUGGAUUACAAGCGAAUUGGAAUAUUUAAACAGGCCUUUGAGUGUCGACUUGGAAAUGGAAAUGAAUGUAACUAUUUUG
Molecule: long non-coding RNA, 281 nt
Organism: Asparagus officinalis (garden asparagus)
Lineage: Eukaryota; Viridiplantae; Streptophyta; Magnoliopsida; Asparagales; Asparagaceae
Exons: 2
Source: RefSeq, a predicted model, not a curated record